ACGUAUGUGCCCGAGCUUCCUACAAUGGUCACACCAGGGUCUCGUCUUCUUCGUACAAGCAUCCAGUGCUCGGGUUGUGAGUGCAAAGGAAUUUUCGGCCUGGUGGGUGAGUUCGGCGUCUCCAAGCAUAUCCUUCCUUUGGCUUUCUUCUCGCCAAAUCUCAGAGAAGGCCUCACGAAGACUCGACAAUGGCUUAAUACUCAGUAAGCGUCCCUGAACCUCAUCGAGCUUUUUGUUCAAUCCUAGCAGAAAUUUAAAGACUCACUUCUGUUUAACAAUCGAUUUAAAGAUUUUCAUAUCUUUGAGACAGCUCCAUCGAUGCUCUUCGAAGAUAUCCAAUUGCUGCCAGCGGCGGGUCAAAGCAUUAUAAUAGUGUUACGCUUAACUCACCUUGCUGAAAAUCGUGAACAGUCUAUUUUAUCUCAAAGAUGGUAGAGGUGUUCUCCUUCCUAUAGUAGAAUUCCUACGCAGCACCCAAAUCUCAUGCGCGGUCUCAUAAAGAAGGAAAUUCUCUCCGAUUUCUGGAGUCAUUGAAGUUAUGAGCCACGACAUGACCAUGUUGUUUUCGAUCUUCCAUGUACGAGCAUUCAGGUCAGUCGUGGGAGGAGGUAUGAGUUCGCCAGUGAGAUACUCGUUGCGCUCCUUACCUCAGAUGAACAACAGAACGGACGACGAUCAUUGAAGGUAAUUGUUGUCGUUUAGUUUGUGUCCUGUGAUAAAGGAUGAAGACAUUUCACCCACACCAUUGUUGAUGGGUGUGUGAUGAUAGGAACCCGAGGAGACCUCGGGUAAAAAAGACGAAAGCUCACCUAUGGCCAUUUGUGACUUUAGCACAACAGGGAUGAUUCUCUUGUAUUAGGGAUGCUCUGAUACCAUGAAGUUUUAGAGAAUGAAAAUUCUACUUCUUCUUAUUUCCAUCACCAUAAGGUGUCAAUUUAUAGGAAAAAGACAACCAAAUUCUAACAAAAACUCUAACAAAAUUCAAAAUACUUUAUGGGAAUGAGGAAUAACAAAUCGGUUAUAACUCACCAACUUUUGUGAUUACCUCCACUAGGCUAAACACUAGACUAAUAAUAACAAAAAAUAAAAACUGAAUUGAUUUUUUCAUUUUCUACAAAUAUAUUAUUAAAACAAAAUAUUUUAAAUUUUAAAUGCUUUCAAUGAAUAAUUAAUUAACAAUAAUUGCUAAUUUUAUUUGGUUCAGUAGGUAUAUGAAAAUUAUUGUAAGAAUUCCUUUUCUAUUUGUUAUUAAUUUGUAUGGUUAGGAUAAAGCAUUAUAGUACUAAAGUUUGUUCUUCCUCAUUUGAGUGCUUAAUAAGGUACAUAUGACUACUAAAAGAAACUUAAAUGUCAGUGUUUAUUUAAAAAAUAAGCAAUUAUUUGGAAGAGGAUAAAAAGAUGAGUUAAUUAGAUAAAAUAAGUAUAUAGAAAAAGUUACCAACAAUAUAGUGUUCUAAUUGUAACGACCCCGGAAAAUAUUAAAAUGAAAUGAGUAUUUAAAUAUAUCGAAUGCGGAAGCGAGAUCAAAAUUUCAUUUAACAUCCCUUACACGAAAAACCAAAAACGUACUUAAAAUAUAAAAGAUUAAACUAACUAAGAAAGAAACUCGAAAAUAAAACUAUGCGUAUGACUACAGAGUCUCUAGGCAUCCCCUUCGUCGUCCUCCUGCGGAACGGGCUCGGGAACCAUGUCUUCCUGAUCUGAAA
Molecule: long non-coding RNA, 1706 nt
Filed under: Carica papaya (papaya)
Lineage: Eukaryota; Viridiplantae; Streptophyta; Magnoliopsida; Brassicales; Caricaceae
Description: long non-coding RNA (CPAP_LNC014400)
Source: RNAcentral